This 460-nucleotide ribosomal RNA is filed under the name uncultured bacterium. RNAcentral's name for it is "partial 16S ribosomal RNA". It matches the Rfam family "Bacterial small subunit ribosomal RNA", at positions 338 to 795 of the family's 1533-position model. The record is from RNAcentral.
CCUACGGGAGGCAGCAGUGAGGAAUAUUGGUCAAUGGACGAUAGUCUGAACCAGCCAAGUAGCGUGAAGGAUGACUGCCCUAUGGGUUGUAAACUUCUUUUAUAUGGGAAUAAAAUGUUCCACGUGUGCUGUUUUGUAUGUACCUUAUGAAUAAGGAUCGGCUAACUCCGUGCCAGCAGCCGCGGUAAUACGGAGGAUCCGAGCGUUAUCCGGAUUUAUUGGGUUUAAAGGGAGCGUAGGUGGAUUGUUAAGUCAGUUGUGAAAGUUUGCGGCUCAACCGUAAAAUUGCAGUUGAAACUGGCAGUCGUGAGUACAGUAGAGGUGGGCGGAAUUCGUGGUGUAGCGGUGAAAUGCUUAGAUAUCACGAAGAACUCCGAUUGCGAAGGCAGCUCACUGGACUGUAACUGACACUGAGGCUCGAAAGUGUGGGUAUCAAACAGGAUUAGAUACCCGUGUAGUC